This 172-nucleotide ribosomal RNA is filed under the name uncultured bacterium. RNAcentral describes it as "partial 16S ribosomal RNA". It matches the Rfam family "Bacterial small subunit ribosomal RNA", at positions 1322 to 1500 of the family's 1533-position model. The record is from RNAcentral.
AAACUAGGAGUUCGCUAGUAAUCGCGCAUCAGCCAUGGCGCGGUGAAUACGUUCCCGGGCCUUGUACACACCGCCCGUCAAGCCAUGGAAGCCGGGAGUGCCUGAAGUGUGCAACCGCAAGGAGCGCCCUAAGGUAAAACUGGUGACUGGGGCUAAGUCGUAACAAGGUAGC